UUUGUAGCUUUCAUAUUGAUCCUUUCGCUCUUGGACCGUCUUGGACUUAACAGUGGGAAUAUUUGCUGUAAUAAAAUGAAUCUUAUUUACACGAAAACUUUGUUGUUGUUGAUGUCGUAUGCGGCGGCCGGAACGGAAGUAAGCCAGAAUGAUCUAAACGAAGUAUUAGACCAGGCUGGCGGAGUGGAAAUAAAUAAAUCUUGCGAACUUCACGACAACAUGGCCGGCUCUGACUACAAAUCAUUGGAACUGCGUACUCGAAGUCUGGUGGAUCCACAGUCGAAAACUGAAGGUGCUAGUUCUACUGUACUGGAAUAUUUAAAGAAUUUAACUACUCGGUUCUGUGUCAAUACACAAAAGCUGUCAAAAGAAGAUUUGGAAAAAUUACAAAAUGAGUUAGGCCUCAAGAGAAAAAUCAAGGUGCACUUUAGCAGCCUUUCAACAGGUACCAAACCUGUGCAAAAUGCUUACUACUAUUUUAACUUAAUCACCACAUUACUUGAAAAGGAUGAAACAGUUUAGUAAGCAUAUUGGCUUCAGCCGACAGGUUGUCAAUGAUGCAAUUACAGCAAAGCUGACCAGGGUAGUGCAAAGUGCACAAAAUGCACUUGUGCACCAAAUGCGAAGUGCAUUUUGUCAUGCGUUUAAAGGAGAUGAUCAAAUGUGUGCAAGCAUUGACCUGCAUUUUUAUCAUGGUUUUUAUCCGAAAGAUUAUCGUACCUGCACUGGCCAGAGAUCUUUCGAUAACCCUUCCCCAAGAAGCUGAAAGGCCAAAUUCUGACGAUGAUGCAGACAACCAGGAAAUCGCUGAGGAUAACGCGGAGGGUUAAACUUGACUAAUUGUGUGUGUUAAGUAUAUAAUUAACAGGUGCGUUAUAUAAAGAUUUAGAUAAAUUAUCAACCUUUCUACUUAAAUAGUAAAGACUCCAACUGCUGUUAAUUUGAUUAUCUACUGCUGUGGUUUUUUACAGUUUUGAUAGAUUUAGUUUGAAUUAACUGCAAUGCAUAAUUAUUUGUUUUAUUGAACUGUAGUGUAGGACAUUUUUACCUAAGUAUUGUCAUACUUCAUCAAAUUGGUCAAAAAUAACCCAGCCCUUAAGCUACAAGAUUUUGGCUUAAAUUCUAAAUAAUGACAUUGUUGGAAAUUUUGCUACCAGUGUCACACCAUAGAGUUCAACAAAUAACACUCUUCUUGGUAAUUAAUGUUAUAGAAUGAAAAUUUCAAUCCAAUUCAAUAAAUAAUGGAAUCAUUUUCAAAUCAGACACACAAGGUAACAUACAUACAAGGUUUUUAUUUAGGGUCAGUGCAGCAGUCUGUGGAGCAAAAUUUUACUUUCCACCACAGAAUUCUCCAAAAAUAAAACCUGUAUAAUUCUAUACAUUAACACAUAAAGCAGAAGUUUAUUGUGUACUUAUUAUAGUUAUGUAUAAACCAUCACUUUUAAGGGCAGUAAUUAAUUAAUCAUGAAUAUUUAAUACUCAAUAUUUUUAAGUAAUUACUCCUUCUAUAAGUACAGAAGUUACUUGAUGAUGUAAGUGAAAUAUUAACUAUAUCGAAAAGAUAUCUUUUUCUUGCAGAAAUUAAAGGUUGUGUUAAUAUAAAUUGCAAACUAUAUAUUGUUUAAUAUUUCUUGCGAAAACGCUCGCCGUGUCAUGGCCGGACUCGAGACGUCGCGUCAUAGGCAAAUUAAGCUUUUAAGGUCCAUAUUACUUGUCUAAGUUUAAGAUUUUGGUAUUGAUAACACAAAACUAAGCAACUGAUAGUUUGUCAUUAUAAAAUACUUGAUAAAAGCUAUGGUGCGAUUUUCGAAUUUUAAGCAGUAGAAAAUUAUGAUUAUAUAUAUUUGACGACAUUCGGCGGCAAUGACUGGCAUGGCGAUUGUUUGAUUUUGUAUUUUUAUUUAUUAAAAAUAAAUACCAAUCUCACUUGCAAAAUAAAUAAA
Molecule: RNA transcript, 1943 nt
Organism: Pararge aegeria (speckled wood butterfly)
Lineage: Eukaryota; Metazoa; Arthropoda; Insecta; Lepidoptera; Nymphalidae
Exons: 4
Source: RefSeq, a predicted model, not a curated record